GACCUCAAUCAGUAGNACUACCCGCUGAACUUAAGCAUAUCA
This 42-nucleotide ribosomal RNA is filed under the name Amauroderma laccatostipitatum. Its description in RNAcentral is "partial 28S ribosomal RNA". Lineage: Eukaryota; Fungi; Basidiomycota; Agaricomycetes; Polyporales; Polyporaceae. The record is from RNAcentral.